Molecule: long non-coding RNA, 1345 nt
Organism: Nerophis ophidion (straightnose pipefish)
Lineage: Eukaryota; Metazoa; Chordata; Actinopteri; Syngnathiformes; Syngnathidae
Exons: 4
Source: RefSeq, a predicted model, not a curated record
UAUCUACUCAUUUCCCUGUCAAAUUAGACACUAACUCUUAAAAGAGUCUCACCUCAUAAAUGCUGUUCAUAUCUCACCUACUGUAAUUCAUCAUGAAAGGUUGUUCUGUUGGACCGGACUGUUUGAAAGAUACGUUUUAGGAACGCCCCUAACUGCGUUCAACCAAUCAGCGUUGGACGACACAACCAAUAAGUUUCCCGCAACCUUCCGAAAGACCCACAUAGCUGUCAGGACAUCCGGAAAGUUCAUGAAGAACUGAAUCUACCUGUGUGGUCUUUGGUGGAAACAACUAUUUAAAAAGUUCCUGCAGUGGAAAAGGGCCUGCUUUUACCUUUGAAGUAUCUUCUCAGCCUCUUCCUUGCUGAUGUCCAUCCCAAGAUCUGCAAGCGACUGCUUGAUUUCCAUGAAGUCUAUUUGGCCUGUUUGAAGAAAAGCAAAACAUCAACACUUUGUCUGCAUACAUCUUAAAAACGUCGAGAAUAUUUACCGUACCGUCGUUGUUUUUGUCCAAGCUCUUGAACGUUAAUUGUAACUUCUUCUCAUGUUCCAUCAGGUACUUGGAGAACUCGUUGAAGUCAAGCCCGUCGUCUUGGUCCUGGUCUCCAGAGGAAACAAUUUUCUAAAAAGUUCUCCCUGGUUCCUCGUCGCUUGUGAGCUGUUCCUUGGUUCGAUUCUUGUUCCUGCUACCUGUCUCCUGUUUUUCUGUUCUCCCUGGUUCCUCGUCGCUUGUGAGCUGUUCCUUGGUUCGAUUCUUGUUCCUGCUACCUGUCUCCUGUUUUUCUGGUGGUCCUUGGCAAAAGCCUAGUACCUGACUGCCCACUAGCCAGGGAUACGGUGUAGACCUCAACGGCGGAGCAGGCGGAAGACGGUAGAUUUAAGAACAACCCCAACAGCGGAGGAAGGCUGCAGCAGAAAAGGGUCCCCAGUCGUCUUGGACUCCAUGCCACUAGACCUUGACCCGAUUCUGUCAAGGAUGGUGUGGUGACUUUCUGUGUACCAGUCUCCCCUACCAGGAGGAUCGUCAUACUCGUUGGACUGACCGCCGAUGAUGAUGCUACGUUCAGUGUUGCUGCAACUAAAACCUUACAAUUUCCCUGACGGCAAACCUAAACAGGACCGUAAAGUGUCUAAUCAAAUGUUAUCUAAAUUUACUGAUUUGCUUUCAUUGUCUACAAACUUGCUUAUACCAGAUUUGCACCGUAAACCAGAACUGGUCGCCAGCCAAUUACAGGAGACAUACACGAUAUUGCCAAAAGUAUUUGGCCCCCUGCCUUGACUCACAUAUGAACUUGAAGUGCCAUCCCAGUCCUAACCCAUAGGGUUCAAUAUGAUGUGGGUCCACCUU